This 107-nucleotide small nuclear RNA is filed under the name Nannospalax galili (Upper Galilee mountains blind mole rat). The record is from RNAcentral. Lineage: Eukaryota; Metazoa; Chordata; Mammalia; Rodentia; Spalacidae.
GUGCUUGUUUCGGCAGCACAUAUACUAAAAUUGGAACGCUACAGAGAAGAUUAGCAUGGCCCCUGUGCAAGGAUGACAUGCAAAUUCGUGAAGCAUUCCAUAUUUAA